RNAcentral lists this ribosomal RNA (233 nucleotides) under uncultured Leptotrichia sp. RNAcentral's name for it is "partial 16S ribosomal RNA". It matches the Rfam family "Bacterial small subunit ribosomal RNA", at positions 122 to 354 of the family's 1533-position model. Lineage: Bacteria; Fusobacteriati; Fusobacteriota; Fusobacteriia; Fusobacteriales; Leptotrichiaceae. The record is from RNAcentral.
GAACUUGCCCUUUAGACUGGGAUAACAGAGGGAAACUUCUGAUAAUACUGGAUAAGUUAGUAUAUCGCAUGAUAUGCAAAUGAAAGCUACGGCACUAAAGGAGAGCUUUGCGUCCUAUUAGCUAGUUGGUAAGGUAAGAGCUUACCAAGGCGAUGAUAGGUAGCCGGCCUGAGAGGGUGGACGGCCACAAGGGGACUGAGAUACGGCCCUUACUCCUACGGGAGGCAGCAGGC